UACGGGGGGGGCAAGCGUUGUUCGGAAUUACUGGGCGUAAAGGGCGCGUAGGCGGUUUGCUAAGUUGGAUGUGAAAACUCUGGGCUUAACCCAGAGCCUGCAUCCAAAACUAGCAGGCUAGAGUUCUGGAGGGGAUAGCGGAAUUCCUGGUGUAGCGGUGAAAUGCGUAGAUAUCAGGAGGAACACCGGUGGCGAAGGCGGGUCUCUGGGCCGAUACUGACGCUGAGGAGCGAAAGCGUGGGGAGCGAACAGG
RNAcentral lists this ribosomal RNA (253 nucleotides) under uncultured bacterium. RNAcentral describes it as "partial 16S ribosomal RNA". It matches the Rfam family "Bacterial small subunit ribosomal RNA", at positions 524 to 776 of the family's 1533-position model. The record is from RNAcentral.